GACAACGUGUCCGAGUGGUUAAGGAGAUAGACUUGAAUUCAAUUCAGACAUCUAUUGGCUUCGGCCUCGCAAGUUCGAAUCUUGUCGUUGUCG
This 93-nucleotide transfer RNA is filed under the name Fusarium fujikuroi. RNAcentral describes it as "tRNA-Ser". It matches the Rfam family "tRNA". From Rfam's summary of the family: Transfer RNA (tRNA) molecules are approximately 80 nucleotides in length. Their secondary structure includes four short double-helical elements and three loops (D, anti-codon, and T loops). Further hydrogen bonds mediate the characteristic L-shaped molecular structure. tRNAs have two regions of fundamental functional importance: the anti-codon, which is responsible for specific mRNA codon recognition, and the 3' end, to which the tRNAs corresponding amino acid is attached (by aminoacyl-tRNA synthetases). tRNAs cope with the degeneracy of the genetic code in two manners: having more than one tRNA (with a specific anti-codon) for a particular amino acid; and 'wobble' base-pairing, i.e. permitting non-standard base-pairing at the 3rd anti-codon position. The record is from RNAcentral. Lineage: Eukaryota; Fungi; Ascomycota; Sordariomycetes; Hypocreales; Nectriaceae.